Molecule: long non-coding RNA, 302 nt
Organism: Amphimedon queenslandica
Lineage: Eukaryota; Metazoa; Porifera; Demospongiae; Haplosclerida; Niphatidae
Exons: 3
Source: RefSeq, a predicted model, not a curated record
UUCAUUGUAGAAUAAGGAGUUAUAUGAAGCUGCUGAAAUAGGUGAUUCUACUGGUGUCCAGUCUGCACUGUCUCAAGGAGCUAAUGUAAACUAUCAUAAUCCUAAAGAGUUUGGAACUUCUUCUCUUCAUGUUGCUGCAAGAGGAGGAUAUCAUGAUGUGGUACAAAUUUUAUUGUCUGCAGGAGCUAAUGUGAACCUAAUAAAUAGAGCUGAAGAAACUGCUCUUAUUGAAGCAGCAAGAGGAGGAAACUGUGAUGUUGUAGAAUUACUGCUGAAGAAAGGAGCUGAUCCUUCACAUUCAA